Molecule: unclassified non-coding RNA, 89 nt
Filed under: Pseudomonas moraviensis
Lineage: Bacteria; Pseudomonadati; Pseudomonadota; Gammaproteobacteria; Pseudomonadales; Pseudomonadaceae
Source: RNAcentral
UGUAGGAGUGAGCCUGCUCGCGAUAGCGCUGUGUCAGCCGGCAGAUCGUUCACUGACAUACCGCUAUCGCGAGCAGGCUCACUCCUACA